CAAACAUAACACUAGACUACAUAACAUAAUUGGUAUCCAUUAAUACAUCUAGGCAUUAAUAAUAUUAUGUUAACAUUACAAGCAUUAAGAUUUCAUCAGACAGUGCAUAUAGUUCCUACAGAGACAACUAAUAUCAGUGAAUAGAUUGCUUCCUUCAAACAUCUCGAAAUGACUAUACCCGAGAUGAGUUCCCCAAACACGAACACGACCACGACCAGAUUGCUGGCUCACACGGCCACCAGUCUGUCCCAAUCUUCUGUCCGAUGCUGGCCCAAAAUCAGGAGAUUGAUCUCGCGGUAGACCAACUUCAAAUGCCUCAAAAUGCCCAUAAUCUGUCAUUAG
RNAcentral lists this unclassified non-coding RNA (342 nucleotides) under Hevea brasiliensis (rubber tree). Lineage: Eukaryota; Viridiplantae; Streptophyta; Magnoliopsida; Malpighiales; Euphorbiaceae. The record is from RNAcentral.